Molecule: long non-coding RNA, 3528 nt
Filed under: Bemisia tabaci
Lineage: Eukaryota; Metazoa; Arthropoda; Insecta; Hemiptera; Aleyrodidae
Description: lncRNA ENSASIAIIG001695
Source: RNAcentral
AAUUGAAAAACGUAAAUUAUUACGACGCGGAGAAUAUGGUUGCAUUUCUUCGUAAAUUAAUGUAUGCAGUUGUGACAGCUAUCAAUUAAAUCAUACAAUGUUUACCUGUUUUUUUGCGAAAGAUCGGAGUAAGAUCGUCAAAUGUAAAUUAUUCUGAAUUCUAUUCUGAGGAGCACUUUCGUUGGAUGUUGUGGGAAGCUUCGUUUGAGAAAAAAGGAGAAGUAAUACAGCCAAUCGCAUGAUGUUAUUUUGGGAGACGGAACAUUCACUUAUGCUCCCAAGCAUUUCAAACAAACUUAUACAAUCCACGUGUUCCAUCGUGGCUUUUAUUUGCAUGUUGCCACGUUCUUCCUCCCCUCAAAAGCGGCAGAAACUUACUCAGCUAUGUGGGAUUUAUUGAAACAAAUGUGUGUUAAACACACUGGUAAAGAAUUGAACGUUAAACUUCUCCUACUUGACUUCGAAUCCUCCGCUCACAAAGCCGCUAAAGUAGCCAUCCUGAGAAUACUAUUGGCUCCAGUUCAGACUCCUUCAAUGAAGACGAUCUGGACGAAGACAUUUCCUUUCAUGAACCACCCACCAGCCAUCCUGAGAAUACUAUUGGCUCCAGUUCAGACGACUCUGACGAUGGCAUUUUCUUCCGGCGAGAGUAUUUCCUUUCAUUAACCACCCACCAGCCAUCCUGAGAAUACUAUUGGCUCCAGUUCAGACGACUCUGACGAUGGCAUUUUCUUCCGGCGAAAGUAAAACCAAAAAUCUAUAAAGGAAGAGGACUUGCUGAUGCCGUUCUUCUCGGGGCUUGCCGCGUGCAUUCACAAUGAGCUGACACGCCUGUCUCGAGGUCCUAUCCCUUCCGACAUCAAAGGCCAGGAUCUAUGGUGGCAUAAUUGGUACAACCCGAGAAAGGGCAGGAUUGGAGAUUUCGAGGCGCGGGUACAGGAAUUACUCGAAGAAGACGUGCGUAAAACCAGCGGAAAGAUAGAUAUCAUGAUGGUCGUCGACGGAAGCCGAAAUAUCGGGAAGACGGCUUUCAGGUUAGCGCUGGACUCGGUGGCACGCCUGGAGAGAAUAUUCGACCUCGAUGAGGCCCACGUCGGUAUGAUCGUCUACUCAUUCUAUAUAUCCCGCACGAUUCCGCUGAUGCAUAAUUUGACCUCGGAGGAACUGAGGAUGGAAAUUCGAACGGCGGAAUAUCCGGAUGGAGAUAGCAAGAACACGUACCUCGGUAUGCUGGAAGCUAUCCAUAGUUUCAAAAGAUUACCGGAUAUUCGGCGAGAAAUCGGGGUGCCAAAACUCAUGGUGGUCUUCACCGAUGGAGUUCACGUUGUAGGGCCGGAUCAUGCUCUUGCAGCUGAAAUGGCCGCCAAAGCAGGUAUCAUAACCUGUUCUUUCGGAAUAGGUGAUAGUAUUGAUGACGGCGAGCUCCUGCGAAUCGCAAACAAUGACACGGACUUCACGUUCAGGACGGAUUAUCACGGAACGGUGCAAGAGCAGAUAGUUCUGAUCGCUCGACAGGUGAAGACGGUACCGCAAACGCCAAAAAUGGGAUCGGAAACGAUCGAGACGUUGAGGUAUGUCGGUGAGAAGAGAUACUAUCGAUUUGCGGUGCCAACGAUUGGUACAACUAUCACGUUGAUCAACGAGGAAGGCGAGACUCGCGGCUACUGGACAUUCACUGCUCUUCAACCUUCCAGUGCCGUCCGUGAUGGAGUCAUAUCAGAGGGGAGACGUUCAUCAAACCGCCACUCCUGUUUCUUGGCUCCACGUCGAGUAGAGACAUCGUGAUUGUAUUCGAAAGUUUUGCGAACAACAGUAGAAUGAGGAUUUGGAUCGACGAGGGAGAUACUACUGGAACUGCUGCCACCGACAUCGACCUAAUGUUAUACUUGCGUAUUGUUAUUUUCUGCUCUAGUACAGCUCUUUUGAAAUGAGAUAAGUAAUUGAUUAAAAGAUAUACCAGAACACGCAUAUUAUGAAGAAUUAAUAGUAUAUUUUCCCGGUAUAUGCGUGUUCUGGUGUAUCUUUUGAUUAAUUAUUUAUCUUGUAUUAUCAAAACACGCAAGAUGCGAUUCUCUAGUUAUCUUUUGAAAUAGCUAAUCUGAGUGCCCGACGAAAAAAGUUGAAGAUCAAAGUUUAUUUCUUUAGGUAGAGACUUCAAUCGGCCGCACUAUACUCGCUACUGUCCUUUCAUUUGGUUAUUUUCAAGGUUUGGAAUAUCUAAUUUCAGUGGCGGGGCGUGAAUGAUCGAUUAUCGAUAUUUCUCAUUUGAGGCAAAGGUAAAGAAUCGAUUAUUAAGGUUUUCGUUGCCAAAAUCCUGUUUAUCUGUCCUUUUCCAUAAGUUUGAGAGGGAAAUCAAUCGAUAUAUCGCAAAGUAUGUCACGCCACGGUCCAAUUUUUCCCGCGCCAAAAGGAGUGAGAACAAAUGUUGCGAACUACAAUUCGAAGCCUCAGUCCCACUGGAUCCGGGAACGACCCAUAGUUGUAUGAGGAGAUCAGUGUCGUUUGCAGGUUUCAAAUAUAAAGGAAAUAGAAUUGAAUUUAUCGACGGUGAAACUGCAAAAAUGCGGAUCUCGGUUGUGCGGUGCUUCAAAAUCUCCGCUCCUACUUACUUGAAAUUUUCACAGAAUAUUCUUCAAAGAGGUAAGAAAAUCACCGAAGUUUUCAUGAACUGACGUCUAUUGGUUUUCCGUGUAAAAAAUUAAGUAUAUUAAGUAUAGCGAGAAGUCUGCAAUGCCGCAAACCGCAAUUUCUGCAGUUUCACCAUCGAUAUGGAGUUUGCACACGUUUCUGCCUCGCCUUCAAUUUUCGAGGUAGACCAGAAUACAUCCUUUGUGCAUCAAUAGUUAUGUAUUCCGAGGAUCGUUGUCUACAAUUCUUGUCUCGAAGGAACGUCUGUCUAACUCCACUAGACAAUUUGUAUGCGAUUCUAUUAGGUUUUUAGGUGAUGUUGAUUAUUGCUUUUUGCUUUACACUAAGGCCAGUGCAAAAAAUACUGGCGUUCGCCCCGACAUAUGUCAGCUCGCUGCUCAUGAAGUUCGAACCUUCGUGAGUAUAAAGCUGAGAGCCUUGCAUUAAUACGGAUAUCCUAGUGACUUGACCUGUUUGCAGCACUGACAUACAGAUUUAUUCGAUGUUGAUCUCUGUGUGAAAUGCGCCAAAGGCAGCACUUUUGAAGGCCAAGGAGACGGAGUUUAAUGGCGAGUUUUGGAUUGCAAAUAAUUUGGUUAAAUGAUGGCCGAUUAUCCCCUAUCUCCCUACAGAAACCUUUUCGAACAUCUUUCUUUGACAAGAUGAUAGCAAGUUUUCAGCAGGUGGCUAGGAUUUUGUUUCGGAGGUGGGGGCUUGGUCGGGUAAGAAAGGUCGCUGCCCCCGGGAAUAAGGGGUCCAGAGGUCUCUCGAAAAUGUUUCAAAAAGCCCCUUAAAAACUAAUGUCUUUCACUAUUUUACAACUACUUUUAAGUGGCAAUGAAGCUACAGUCUUUCAUGAUAAUUUUAAACAUUUUUCAGCAAAAACACUCGCCGCUGCAA